GUACCCGCCUCGCUAACUACUACCUCCCUCCGACUAACCAUCGGCUUCGAAUACCGUCUCGAUCACACAGUGGGGGUAACAUUAAGGACGAAGUUUUGGAAACACGUCUCGACUCACGUCUCGAUCGAGCUGACGACUGACUUCCACCACACCUCGUCAGUUUCACUCACUUCUCGCAGUUGGAGCCAUCCUCCUUCCUGCUGCCUGGCUUCGGUUACAUCGACAUACUCGCUAAAGGGAAGCAAUGCAAGAGCGAACCAAGAGAGUGCUUGCCUGAUAUUCUCAAGGCUGGAGAAGGGAUGGAAGACUGAGAGGACAGCAGAGGUAAGGAGAUGUGGAAAGGAGACGAAAAAAAAAAAAAAACAGGGAAAGGAGCAAAAGGAAGACUGAAGUUUUAGGGGACAGAGAAAAGAAUCUCGUUGCCCGGGUCUUGCGUGGCUUGUGGACAUUCCAGCGCCGAGUGACGGAUGGCCCGAGCACCUAACCAACAUGUUUUACCAGCAAUACCACACACCUUUUUGGGGAGAGACACCUGCUGCGCCCAGUAGAUAUACAAAAGAAGAAGAAGAAGAAGAAGAAGAGCAGGGGGAGAGAAAGAAAAAAAAAAAAAACCGUGGACGUAAGAGACGUUCGGCAGGAUGGGUCGCUCCUCGUUCAUGUUGCUGGAGAGCUUCACUGAUGAGCGAGCAGUUACUGUCCUUCCUCCGCAAGACGAUGGGGUGUGUGGAGUGUGUGAAAGGUCUCAGCCUUACCCAUAUAUGAAAUACAUGAAUUUUUCAAGCUUACACCUUGAGGCUUCAGCUGCCGAUCACGGGUUCAGCACGUGAGCCGCAACGUGUGCCAAUUACACACACACACACACACACACACACACACUCACCCAUUCACUCAUUAUCUUCGUUAUUUACUGAACGUUUUAUUGAUUUGCUCCUGUAUUCUUCCAUGCUCUCUCUCUCUCUCUCUCUCUCUCUCUCUCUCUCUCUCUCUCUCUCUCUCUCUCUCUCUCUCUCUCUCUCUCUCUCUCUCUCUCUCUCUCUCUCUCUCUCUUUACAGAUACAUAACGAAUAUCUUCACACUUAUAUUACACGCUUUUAUAAAUCUACUGCUAUCUUACUUAUAUAUUUUCCACACCGAUAAGUUAUUAUAUCUUUACAGUGCACUUCCUGAAAUCUUUCAUGUUUACUUUUGUGUCAAAUUUCUUACAGAUUUACGUCUUAUUUACGUCUUAUUGUUCUAACAUUUUUUAUGUCCAUUAUUUCCACCGUUGAUAUGUCAACUUUGUACUGAACAUCCACCUCCUAACCUACCUCAUUUUCUUUUAUGUGUCUCUGCCAGUGAACCUGCGUCGUAAACCUGAAAGAAUGUACCUCGCUGCAA
Molecule: long non-coding RNA, 1377 nt
Organism: Scylla paramamosain (green mud crab)
Lineage: Eukaryota; Metazoa; Arthropoda; Malacostraca; Decapoda; Portunidae
Exons: 5
Source: RefSeq, a predicted model, not a curated record